This 466-nucleotide long non-coding RNA is filed under the name Sorghum bicolor (sorghum). RNAcentral's name for it is "long non-coding RNA (SBIC_LNC010517)". Lineage: Eukaryota; Viridiplantae; Streptophyta; Magnoliopsida; Poales; Poaceae. The record is from RNAcentral.
UUUUACAAAAAUUUUUAAAUCCUUAUUUAAUUUAGUAUUUUCUAAUAACAAUCCAAAAUUAAAAAUUUUAGAGUGUUAUACAAGGACACUCAAAACUAAAGGUAGAUGUGCACCUAAAGGUAUGUCUGAAGCUUUGAUUACCACUUAAGGAGAAAAGGUGUGGCCCGAUCUUACGAAAGGUUCUGGUAACUAUCGAUUUGGUGGAAACGAGACACAAAUCAAUCCAGCUUGCGAACAACACGAUUCGAUACCCUGCAAUUCUUUUUUUUGAUAUUUUUCUUUUACUUUGGAGCACUCAAGAAGUAACCACAGGAAAUUUGAGCUUAAACAAGUGAAAGACAUAGCCUGUGGAAUUUUUUGAAGAUUGCGAAAAAUAUGAAAAAAAAUUUAGGAGCUGAAAACUCAAACUUCAGAGGCGAAUUUGGGGAUUCUAAAAUUGUCGAACCCGCUCGUGGCAUGGAUAGAC